Molecule: ribosomal RNA, 465 nt
Filed under: uncultured bacterium
Lineage: Bacteria
Description: partial 16S ribosomal RNA
Rfam family: Bacterial small subunit ribosomal RNA
Source: RNAcentral
GACGAACGCUGGCGGCGUGCUUAACACAUGCAAGUCGUACGGUAAGGCCCUUUCGGGGGUACACGAGUGGCGAACGGGUGAGUAACACGUGAGUAACCUGCCCACAACUUUGGGAUAACGCUAGGAAACUGGUGCUAAUACUGGAUAUGUGCUCCUGCUGCAUGGUGGGGGUUGGAAAGCUCCGGCGGUUGUGGAUGGACUCGCGGCCUAUCAGCUUGUUGGUGGGGUAGUGGCCUACCAAGGCGGCGACGGGUAGCCGGCCUGAGAGGGUGACCGGCCACAUUGGGACUGAGAUACGGCCCAGACUCCGACGGGAGGCAGCAGUGGGGAAUAUUGCACAAUGGGCGCAAGCCUGAUGCAGCAACGCCGCGUGCGGGAUAACGGCCUUCGGGUUGUAAACCGCUUUCAGCAGGGACGAAGCUUUUUGUGACGGUACCUGCAGAAGAAGCACCGGCUAACUACGUG